RNAcentral lists this ribosomal RNA (437 nucleotides) under uncultured Oscillatoriales cyanobacterium. RNAcentral describes it as "bacterial SSU rRNA". It matches the Rfam family "Bacterial small subunit ribosomal RNA", at positions 344 to 795 of the family's 1533-position model. Lineage: Bacteria; Bacillati; Cyanobacteriota; Cyanophyceae; Oscillatoriales. The record is from RNAcentral.
GGAGGCAGCAGUGGGGAAUUUUCCGCAAUGGGCGAAAGCCUGACGGAGCAAUACCGCGUGAGGGAUGAAGGCCUUUGGGUUGUAAACCUCUUUUAUCAAGGAGGAAGUUCUGACGUGUACUUGAUGAAUAAGCAUCGGCUAACUCCGUGCCAGCAGCCGCGGUAAGACGGAGGAUGCAAGUGUUAUCCGGAAUCACUGGGCGUAAAGCGUCUGUAGGUGGUUUAAAAAGUCCACUGUUAAAUAUUGAAGCUUAACUUCAAAAAUGCCGUGGAAACUUUUAAACUUGAGUAUGAUAGGGGUAGAGGGAAUUUCCAGUGGAGCGGUGAAAUGCGUAGAUAUUGGAAAGACCACCAAUGGCGAAGGCACUCUACUGGGCCAUUACUGACACUGAGAGACGAAAGCUAGGGGAGCGAAUGGGAUUAGAUACGCCAGUAGUC